This 407-nucleotide ribosomal RNA is filed under the name uncultured bacterium. RNAcentral describes it as "partial 16S ribosomal RNA". It matches the Rfam family "Bacterial small subunit ribosomal RNA", at positions 30 to 526 of the family's 1533-position model. The record is from RNAcentral.
AUUGAACGCUGGCGGCAGGACUAACACAUGCAAGUCGAGAGGAACGGCAGACGGAUGAGUAAUGCCUAGGAAUCUGCAGGGUAGUGGGGGAUAACGUCCGGACACGGGCGCUAAUACCGCAUACUAUCAGAUGAGCCUAGGUCGGAUUAGCUAGUUGGUGGGGUAAAGGCCUACCAAGGAGACGAUCCGUAACUGGUCUGAGAGGAUGAUCAGUCACACUGUAACUGAGACACGGUCCAGACUCCUACGGGAGGCAGCAGUGGGGAAUAUUGCACAAUGGGCGCAAGCCUGAUGCAGCCAUGCCGCGUGUGUGAAGAAGGCCUUCGGGUUGUAAAGCACUUUCAGCGGGGAGGCGUUACCCGCAGAAGAAGCACCGGCUAACUCCGUGCCAGCAGCCGCGGUAAUAC